GUAAGGAAAAUGACUAUGGAGUCUGUUUAGUGCUUUGUUUUGUGGGUCCAUGGGAGCAGGAGUUGUCUCGCUUUCUGCUGAGUCCUCUGCGUCCCCUUCUUGCAGUCAGAGCCCCACAGUUGACGUGUGCUCUUACCGGAAGAAGAUAAUGUUCUUAAACCACUCUUGGUGAAACAAAUGCACUUAUCAUCUCCCCUUCCUACGCCACUUCCAAACCCAAUUCUCUCCAGUGGCUGGUGAUGCUCACCUGGACUGAAUUUCCCAGCUUCUGCCGCAGGUCUGUGAGGCCAUGUGACCUGAGAAGCAGUGAAGGUGGCAGAAGUGGGAUCCACCACAUCCAAGCUCAGGCCAUGAAACUGCCUGUGGCAUCCUCCACACUCUUGCUCUUCUCUCUCCUGCUGGUCAGACAUGGAUGAUCCAGUGGAGGCCUCCAAGGCCCUAGGGGAUGGCAGAACCGCUCGAUAGCAGAUGCUUGGGGCCCUGGAGGACUGCAUGGAUCAAAGCCCCCUCCAACCAACCUUGAUUGUGAAAUGAUGAUGAAAUAAACCUUCAUUAUGGUGUGUCA
Molecule: long non-coding RNA, 565 nt
Organism: Homo sapiens (human)
Lineage: Eukaryota; Metazoa; Chordata; Mammalia; Primates; Hominidae
Source: Ensembl